This 372-nucleotide ribosomal RNA is filed under the name uncultured organism. RNAcentral describes it as "bacterial SSU rRNA". It matches the Rfam family "Bacterial small subunit ribosomal RNA", at positions 526 to 896 of the family's 1533-position model. The record is from RNAcentral.
CAGAGGGGGCAAGCGUUGCUCGGAAUCACUGGGCGUAAAGGGCGCGUAGGCGGGAUGGCAAGUCAGUCGUGAAAUCUCUCGGCUCAACCGAGAAACGUCGGCUGACACUGCCGUUCUUGAGGGAUGCAGAGGAGACUGGAGUUCCCGGUGUAGCGGUGAAAUGUGUAGAGAUCGGGAGGAACACCGGUGGCGAAGGCGGGUCUCUGGGCAUUUCCUGACGCUGAGGCGCGAAAGCGUGGGGAGCAAACGGGAUUAGAUACCCCGGUAGUCCACGCUGUAAACGAUGACGACUAGGUGUGGGGUGGUUUAGUCCAUUCCGUGCCGCAGCUAACGCAUUAAGUCGUCCGCCUGGGGAGUACGGCCGCAAGGUUG